GAUGAAGAACGCAGCGAAAUGCGAUAAGUAGUGUGAAUUGCAGAAUUCAGUGAAUCAUCGAAUCUUUGAACGCACAUUGCGCCCCUUGGUAUUCCAUGGGGCAUGCCUGUUCGAGCGUCAUUUGUACCUUCAAGCUCUGCUUGGUGUUGGGUGUUUGUCUCGCCUCUGCGUGUAGACUCGCCUCAAAACAAUUGGCAGCCGGCGUAUUGAUUUCGGAGCGCAGUACAUCUCGCGCUUUGCACUCAUAACGACGACGUCCAAAAGUACACUUUUACACUCUUGACCUCGGAUCAGGUAGGGAUACCCGCUGAACUUAAGCAUAUCAAUAAGCGGAGGA
Molecule: unclassified non-coding RNA, 337 nt
Filed under: soil metagenome
Description: partial contains 5.8S ribosomal RNA, internal transcribed spacer 2, and large subunit ribosomal RNA
Rfam family: 5.8S ribosomal RNA (bases 1-120)
Source: RNAcentral